This is a non-coding RNA of Onthophagus taurus, 430 nucleotides long. The record is from RefSeq and is a predicted model, not a curated record. NCBI's taxonomy places the organism in Eukaryota, Metazoa, Arthropoda, Insecta, Coleoptera, Scarabaeidae.
UUGGGUAAUCUUAGUAGAUUUAUUUGACAUUUUGUUGUCAAAAUUUAAAUUCAAUGAAGCUAUUUUAAGGUAUAUCCACACUAAAGAAGCACAGGGGAUUCUGUUCCUGAUUGCCGUAACCUGUUUAGGAAGCAGAAACAAUAACAAAUUUAUCAUAAACAUUUUAUCCACACCAACAAACCCAUUUUAGUCGCUCAUAACUGUGUUGCCGCAACAAGAAACUUUCCAUCUACAUCAGGAAAAGAAAAUUCGUAAAUGUUGGACUACUAAAAGGCACUCUUUUAGAAAGAAAUACGCAUGGUAUCAUGCGCCUUAUGAGUCCAUUAACGAAAGAUUAUUUAAUAGUAGAAUCCAGGAUCAACAAUGGAAAUAUAAAGAACUUUAGUCGUAGGAAAACCAUUUGCUAAUAAAAUAUAUUCCAACAACAGAU